Molecule: unclassified non-coding RNA, 329 nt
Filed under: soil metagenome
Description: partial contains 5.8S ribosomal RNA, internal transcribed spacer 2, and large subunit ribosomal RNA
Rfam family: 5.8S ribosomal RNA (bases 1-120)
Source: RNAcentral
GAUGAAGAACGUAGCGAAAUGCGAUAAGUAAUGUGAAUUGCAGAAUUCAGUGAAUCAUCGAAUCUUUGAACGCACAUUGCGCCCCUUGGUAUUCCGAGGGGCAUGCCUGUUCGAGCGUCAUUAUAACCCCUCAAGCUCAGCUUGGUGUUGGGGCCUGCUGCACUGGCAGCCCUUAAAAUCAGUGGCGGCGCCAUCUGGCUCUAAGCGUAGUAAUUCUUCUCGCUAUGGAGUCCUGGUGGAUGCUUGCCAUCAACCCCCAAUUUUUCUAUGGUUGUCCUCGGAUCAGGUAGGGAUACCCGCUGAACUUAAGCAUAUCAAUAAGCGGAGGA